Sus scrofa (pig) is the source of this 2367-nucleotide RNA transcript. RefSeq lists it as uncharacterized. The record is from RefSeq and is a predicted model, not a curated record. NCBI's taxonomy places the organism in Eukaryota, Metazoa, Chordata, Mammalia, Artiodactyla, Suidae.
GCGCACAGCGGCGGAGGAGGGAAAAAAUCCAGCGAGUGCGUGAGCCGCCUCCUGAAGAGGUGUGACUAUCGAUCACAGGUGUGGGUUCUCGGGCCGAGGGCUUCCAUGGUGGCUGGGGCAUCUGGUGAGGAGGAAGAUAGAAGCAGGCAGACACGCAGUUACUGACUGGCAUUUGUCAACUCGAGAAAACUUGUGGAGCCCUCAGCACCAGCAGCAGCAGCGGCCUGGGUCUGUGGUGGCCGUGUUAGCUGCUGUUUUCGUCAGUGACGAACACUGCUAGUGUCCUCUGAAGAGCGGUCCACCAAUGUCCGCCGUGAGGUCCACAGUGAGGAAAGCGCCACGGUUGCACUGGCAUCUGCAAGGGCUGUUGUGGCCCUCCGAGGCAAAAGCUGCUCAAGUCCUUGGCGGAGCCGGCCGGCCACGGAGAAGUGUGUUCGCUUUGCCCAUUGCCGACUUUUUGGGCUUUUCUCCCUAGAUUGGUGAUGUCAUCUGCAGGUAUGAGAAGAACAAGUGGAAUAUAGUAUCCAACCAUCUGUCUUUAACCUGGUCACACAGUGUCAUUGUUCUUCAUUUGGCUAUCGUUGAGAAUUCAAGACAUGCUUUGUAAUUGUCAUUAAUCAAGAGAGCAUUGUGACUAGUGUUGAGAUAUAUAGAUACAUAUAUGGAGAGAGAGGAGAGGAGAGAGAUCUAUAUAUGUAUAUCCAUCUAUAUCUAUCUAUCUGUGUAUCCAUCUAUCUGUCUAUCCCAACAGAGACAAAAUAUAUAUUAAAAGGUCAUUGGUCAUCAGAGCUUUGACAUUGCUUAAUUCAUUUGCUUCUUGUAAUUACAUUGUAUACCAACUUAUUUCAAGAUGAGGAAAACACCUCUAACAUAUAAAACUGGAAUUCCAGCUCAGCUUUUGUGAUUCCAAGGUUCAUGGGGACUCCCCACUGUCUUACCAAGCUCAAACCAUUCAGUAACUGAAAAACAAUAUGAAAAUGUCUUUGAAAAUGUAAUCCCCAAGUGUGAGUGUCGUUCUGAAAAAGGAUGGCAAAUGUAUUUUUAUUAUCAAAGUAUUACAUGAAUUUAGACAUAUCUCCCUGAAAAAGUAUUUUCUAAUCAGCCAAAAAGUGUUAAUAUGACAUACUUGCAAAUUAGGUAGAGAAAGAGAGGUGAUAAAACAGAAAUUGUGAAAUUGUCUAGCAGUCAUUUUGACAAUAUUUUAUGGCUACAAUAUUCAUUACAGUGUGGUACCUAUUUGGGAUAUAAUAAGUAAAAUACAGAUUUUUGUCUGAUUUUCUUGAGAACUUACACACAAUAAAUGGUAUCUACUUUUACUUACAUCAUCUUUAGUGUACUGUUAUUCUGGAAGCAGUUACCACAAAUAAGUAAUAGAAACGUAGUAAAAUCCUGUGCAGAAAAUGGAUGGUUAAAAGGGCAACAUUUCUUCUCUAAUUGUUACCUUUCCAACUUUUCACAUAGAGUUUGUACUAUACACCAACUGAAAUGACAGCAAAGUGCUAGUGAGAAGGGAAAACUCCCAUUUAAAGCUUUACAAGUUUGCAGGAAUAAACACAAUGUGCUGUCUUGACUGCUUUUGCCAGGGGUAUAUUGUUCUCUUGUUAAAUUUCUUUUAGAAUCCAUUGCCUUGCACCCGAGAAUAUAGUUGCCAAAUAAUGUAAGCAUUCCAACCCCAAGAUUAUACUGUAGAACAAGAUCAGCCCUUCUUUCUGGCAGACGCAAAUAAUUGUAAACAAAAUGUCCCUGACACAUUAUUAGUUGAUAUGGAAAUUAUUCUUGACAUAGAAGACUGAGAAUGGGAAAAGCAUCCAGUAUGUGCAGUGGCAGAUUUAGAAAAAAUAAAUAAAAUAAACACCUUCAACAUAUCCCUUCUACGUCACAACAACAAUUUAAAUGAAAUAAUUUCUUUUCACUCUAUUCUCUACAGGGCUAGAUUAGAGGAAUGUAUGGAGGGGGAUUGUUAAUUACUAGAUUCAGCCAGAUUUGUGCUGGACACUUUAUGAUAUUCAGUGAGUUAUAGCAUUGUAGUUAAGAUAAUAGAUUUAAGAAUCAAUCAAACUUAGGUUGGAAUCCUGGUUCUUUAACCUAGAGCAAUUCAGUUAACCUCUCUGAGCCUCAGUUUCCCUAAGUCUGAUUGAGCAAUAAGUGUCUUUCAGUAUUGUGUUGGAUCAAAAAAGACAAAGAACAAUGUACAUAAGAUAUUAAAUUUAAUGCCUGAUGUACAAUGAGUGAUGUAUGUAUUAAUGUAAUUAGAGUCAGAUGUCAUCUAUGUUUGGCAAUAACUAGUGAUAUACCUUACUUAGAACAUGAAGAAGAAACCAAAAUCUAAUAAAAGUCCUUUAAUGGCAUCUUGUUUUGUAUUUUCAA